This 433-nucleotide ribosomal RNA is filed under the name uncultured bacterium. Its description in RNAcentral is "partial 16S ribosomal RNA". It matches the Rfam family "Bacterial small subunit ribosomal RNA", at positions 29 to 507 of the family's 1533-position model. The record is from RNAcentral.
AGCGAACGCUGGCGGCAGGCCUAACACAUGCAAGUCGAACGGAUCCUUCGGGAUUAGUGGCGGACGGGUGAGUAACACGUGGGAACGUGCCCUUUGGUUCGGAACAACUCAGGGAAACUUGAGCUAAUACCGGAUGUGCCCUUCGGGGGAAAGAUUUAUCGCCAUUGGAGCGGCCCGCGUCUGAUUAGCUAGUUGGUGAGGUAACGGCCCACCAAGGCGACGAUCAGUAGCUGGUCUGAGAGGAUGAUCAGCCACACUGGGGCUGAGACACGGCCCAGACUCCUACGGGAGGCAGCAGUGGGGAAUCUUGCGCAAUGGGCGAAAGCCUGACGCAGCCAUGCCGCGUGAAUGAUGAAGGUCUUAGGAUUGUAAAAUUCUUUCAGCGGGGACGAUAAUGACGGUACCCGCAGAAGAAGCUCCGGCUAACUUCGUG